UCGAGAAUCAUUCGCAAUGGGGGCAACCCUGACGAUGCGACGCCGCGUGAAGGAUGAAGGCCCUCGGGUUGUAAACUUCUGUCAAGAGGGAAUAAGCAAGUGAAGGUACCUCUAGAGGAAGGGGCGGCUAAUUCCGUGCCAGCAGCCGCGGUAACACGGAAGCCCCGAGCGUUGUUCGGAUUUAUUGGGCGUAAAGGGUGCGUAGGCGGCGCGGAAAGUCUGGUGUGAAAGGCAGGGGCUCAACCUCUGGACUGCACUGGAUACUCCCGUGCUUGAGGACUGGAGGGGAGACUGGAAUUCACGGUGUAGCAGUGAAAUGCGUAGAUAUCGUGAGGAAGACCGGUGGCGAAGGCGAGUCUCUGGACAGUUCCUGACGCUGAGGCACGAAGGCUGGGGUAGCGAACA
This 405-nucleotide ribosomal RNA is filed under the name uncultured bacterium. RNAcentral's name for it is "bacterial SSU rRNA". It matches the Rfam family "Bacterial small subunit ribosomal RNA", at positions 355 to 774 of the family's 1533-position model. The record is from RNAcentral.